This 255-nucleotide long non-coding RNA is filed under the name Hordeum vulgare. RNAcentral's name for it is "long non-coding RNA (HVUL_LNC019024)". The record is from RNAcentral. Lineage: Eukaryota; Viridiplantae; Streptophyta; Magnoliopsida; Poales; Poaceae.
AUAUAAAUGAUCGAGACCUGGUAAUGAUCAAGAAGUGUUCCUGAACCCCUACUAACGAGUCAAUCAGAACCUCGCUAUGUUCUCUUUGGUUCAAACCUCACAAGAAGAGACGGUCACGGAUACGCACGUGGUUGGUGUAUUUUUAUUUGAUUUAGUGUCAAAAUCUCUACCAUCGAAUAUUAUAAAUUUCCAAGUAACCACGUAACCGCAUGAACAUAUUUUCGUAAGAUUUAACCCUGCAGGCGUCCUCCAAGU